GUCGCAUUUCUGUGUGUAAUUUCGUGCGUGGUGGGGGCAUCUCGUGACGAUGUGCAGCCCAGCGGCAUGUUGUUGAGACGAACUACGGAGUUGUACCUGUAGCAAUUGUUUUAUCAGUUCUACCCAGAUAAGGAAUGCAAAUAAGGGAGCAGUUCUUGGCGUACUAUUCAUUUCAAAACUAGACUCUACAGCUCAAAUGAUCAUAACGUUUUGCUAUGUGAUUUCUCUUAGCAAAAGGAUCGCGAGAUAGUGAGCAAAUUCUGAAGCUGUGGGAAGAAAUUGCUGUCACUUGUUAACUAUCGCUCCAAGAAAGGAGGUCAACACUGUGCAGCAAUGAGGAGGUGCCAGUUCAACGAACAUCUAAGAAACAGAACUUCCGUUCAAAAAGUGUCUUUGGUAAACCAACCCUGGCUGAAAAGACAAAUGUUGCUAAUGCUUUGGUGCAACCUGACAGUGAAGUGUUGAGUGUACAUGUUGGCUUUGAUCACACAUAAUCUAAGAAUUUAAUUUAUCUGUCCUACAGUUGUGUAUGCAUGUUUGUUUAUCAUGGUUUAUAGGCCUACUGAGGAAACUCGCCAUGUAAAAAAAUGAGUAACGCAUCAUACUCGGUACCUCAGAGUAAUGUGGAAAUCCGAGUGUACUUAAUAAAGAAAAUGUCACUGUU
Molecule: long non-coding RNA, 664 nt
Organism: Schistocerca gregaria
Lineage: Eukaryota; Metazoa; Arthropoda; Insecta; Orthoptera; Acrididae
Exons: 2
Source: RefSeq, a predicted model, not a curated record